This 1343-nucleotide ribosomal RNA is filed under the name uncultured bacterium. Its description in RNAcentral is "16S ribosomal RNA". It matches the Rfam family "Bacterial small subunit ribosomal RNA", at positions 28 to 1378 of the family's 1533-position model. The record is from RNAcentral.
GACGAACGCUGGCGGCGUGCUUAACACAUGCAAGUCGAACGGAAAGGCCCUGCUUUUGUGGGGUGCUCGAGUGGCGAACGGGUGAGUAACACGUGAGUAACCUGCCCUUGACUUUGGGAUAACUUCAGGAAACUGGGGCUAAUACCGGAUAGGAGCUCCUGCUGCAUGGUGGGGGUUGGAAAGUUUCGGCGGUUGGGGAUGGACUCGCGGCUUAUCAGCUUGUUGGUGGGGUAGUGGCUUACCAAGGCUUUGACGGGUAGCCGGCCUGAGAGGGUGACCGGCCACAUUGGGACUGAGAUACGGCCCAGACUCCUACGGGAGGCAGCAGUGGGGAAUAUUGCACAAUGGGCGGAAGCCUGAUGCAGCAACGCCGCGUGCGGGAUGACGGCCUUCGGGUUGUAAACCGCUUUCGCCUGUGACGAAGCGUGAGUUACGGUAAUGGGUAAAGAAGCACCGGCUAACUACGUGCCAGCAGCCGCGGUGAUACGUAGGGUGCGAGCGUUGUCCGGAUUUAUUGGGCGUAAAGGGCUCGUAGGUGGUUGAUCGCGUCGGAAGUGUAAUCUUGGGGCUUAACCCUGAGCGUGCUUUCGAUACGGGUUGACUUGAGGAAGGUAGGGGAGAAUGGAAUUCCUGGUGGAGCGGUGGAAUGCGCAGAUAUCAGGAGGAACACCAGUGGCGAAGGCGGUUCUCUGGGCCUUUCCUGACGCUGAGGAGCGAAAGCGUGGGGAGCGAACAGGCUUAGAUACCCUGGUAGUCCACGCUGUAAACGGUGGGUACUAGGUGUGGGGUCCAUUCCACGGGUUCCGUGCCGUAGCUAACGCUUUAAGUACCCCGCCUGGGGAGUACGGCCGCAAGGCUAAAACUCAAAGGAAUUGACGGGGCCCCGCACAAGCGGCGGAGCAUGCGGAUUAAUUCGAUGCAACGCGUAGAACCUUACCUGGGUUUGACAUGGAUCGGGAGCGCUCAGAGAUGGGUGUGCCUCUUUUGGGGUCGGUUCACAGGUGGUGCAUGGCUGUCGUCAGCUCGUGUCGUGAGAUGUUGGGUUAAGUCCCGCAACGAGCGCAACCCUUGUUCACUGUUGCCAGCACGUUAUGGUGGGGACUCAGUGGAGACCGCCGGGGUCAACUCGGAGGAAGGUGGGGAUGACGUCAAGUCAUCAUGCCCCUUAUGUCCAGGGCUUCACGCAUGCUACAAUGGCUGGUACAGAGAGUGGCGAGCCUGUGAGGGUGAGCGAAUCUCGGAAAGCCGGUCUCAGUUCGGAUUGGGGUCUGCAACUCGACCUCAUGAAGUCGGAGUCGCUAGUAAUCGCAGAUCAGCAACGCUGCGGUGAAUACGUUCCCGGG